Molecule: long non-coding RNA, 1321 nt
Filed under: Carassius auratus (goldfish)
Lineage: Eukaryota; Metazoa; Chordata; Actinopteri; Cypriniformes; Cyprinidae
Description: lncRNA (ENSCARG00000001825.1)
Source: RNAcentral
CUCUGCAGAGCAGCAUAAGGAACAGGGUAAGAGUUCUGAGAAUAAAAGAGUAUGUUUUUAUUGUUUAGAUCCUAGUCAUCUGAUUGUAGACUGCAAAGCUUGGAAGAAGAAAAACAUUGCAUCGAAACCUAAAAGUGUUGCCAAUGUUGUUUGUGAACCAAUGGUUAAUGUUCAGAAUGAAGACUCUUCGAAUGUAUCUGCUUUUACUCCUUUUGUAUUUAAGGGUAAUGUAGCAGUUUCUCCUGAUUCUACAGUGAGAUCCAUCUCUAUUUUGAGGGAUACAGGGUCAGCACAGUCGUUCAUCCUUGAAGGUGCGUUACCUUUUUCAAAUGAGACCUAUACAGGGACGGAUGUUUUGGUCCGUGGAAUAGAGUUGAACUGUUUAAAGGUCCCACUUCAUACUGUGUUCCUGACGUCUGAUCUAGUUUCAGGUCCUGUAAAAGUGGGAGUACGUUCAAGACUACCUGUAGAAGGUGUGAGUUUAAUUUUAGGAAACGACCUGGCUGGUGGCAAGGUGUUUCCUUGUCCGAUUGUGACAAGUACUCCUGUUUGUGAUAGGGAGCUUGUUAGUCAAUUCCCGGCAACAUUUCCAGUGUGCGUCGUUACUCGUGCACAAGCACGCAAAAAUGAGGAUGUAAUUGAUUUGUCUGACACUUUUCUUGCUUCUCCAGGUUCCCCUGUUGAAUUGACUCUAUCUGUACACCCCACUGUUGUUGAAGUCGAUAGUAAGAGUAAGUCUAUUGAUAAGGGAUCUUCCUUGGUGAUGGGAAGAAAUCAACUUGGUAUUGCCCAGAAAGCUGACGCUUCCCUGACACGUUGUCUUGAGGCUGCAAAGAAAGGGGAAGGAGAGAAUGCAGAUGAGGUGCAGUAUUUUUGGGAUAGAGGUGUACUGAUGCGUAAGUGGUUGUCUCAGGAUGCUAAGGAAUUUGGUUUAAGUGCGGACUACCAGAUUGUUUUGCCUACAGGUUAUCGAGCUACAGUUCUUAAACUUGCUCACGAUCAUUUAUUAUCUGGUCAUUUGGGCAGUAAUAAAACAUUCAAGCGUGUGGCUAAGUAUUUUUAUUGGCCUGGUUUAAGAUCAGCUGUGUCAAGAUACUGUCGUUCAUGUUAUAGUUGUCAACUCGCUGGUAAGCCCAAUCAAAUUAUUAAACCGGCUCCCUUGCAGCCUAUUCCGGUGAUGGGAGAGCCAUUUGAGCGUCUUAUUUUAGACUGUGUUGGCCCUUUGCCAAAGUCAAAAGCUGGUUACCAGUAUAUCCUAACGUUAAUAUGCGCAACAACACGUUUCCCUGAGGCAGUGCCAUUACGUAACCUUAAAGCAAAG